This 258-nucleotide ribosomal RNA is filed under the name uncultured bacterium. RNAcentral describes it as "partial 16S ribosomal RNA". It matches the Rfam family "Bacterial small subunit ribosomal RNA", at positions 96 to 354 of the family's 1533-position model. The record is from RNAcentral.
UGGCGGACGGGUGAGUAACGCGUGGGGAACCUGCCCUGUACAGGGGGAUAACACUUAGAAAUAGGUGCUGAUACCGCAUAAGCGCACAGUAUCGCAUGAUACAGUGUGAAAAACUCCGGUGGUACAGGAUGGACCCGCGUCUGAUUAGCUGGUUGGCGGGGUAACGGCCCACCAAGGCGACGAUCAGUAGCCGGCCUGAGAGGGUGAACGGCCACAUUGGGACUGAGACACGGCCCAAACUCCUACGGAAGGCAGCAG